Molecule: ribosomal RNA, 497 nt
Filed under: uncultured bacterium
Lineage: Bacteria
Description: partial 16S ribosomal RNA
Rfam family: Bacterial small subunit ribosomal RNA
Source: RNAcentral
GAUGAACGCUGGCGGCAUGCCUAACACAUGCAAGUCGAGCGAACGGACGAGAAUCUUGCGUCUCUGAUGUUAGCGACGGACGGGUGAGUAACACGUGGAUAGCCAACCUAUAAGACUGGGGUAACUUCGGGAAACCGUAGCUAAUACCGGAUAAUAUUUUGAACCGGAGGGUUCAAAAGUGAAAGACUGUCUUGCUGUCACUUAUAGAUGUAUCCGCGCUGCAUUAGCUAGUUGGUAAGGUAACGGCUAACCACGGCAACGAUGCAUAGCCGACCUGGGAGGUGGAUCGGCCACACUGGAACUGAGACACGGGCCAGACUCCUACGGGAGGCAGGAGUAGGGAAUCUUGGGCAAUGGGCGAAAGCCUGACGGAGCAACGCCGCGUGGGUGAAGAAGGUCUUCGGAUGGUAAAGCACUGUUAUUAGGGAAGAAGAUAUGUGUAAGUAGCAGUGGACGUCUUGACGGUACCUAAUGAGAAAGCAACGGCUAACUACGUG